GGCCUCCCAAAAAUCUCAAUCCAUUGCUUCUUCUUCCCUUCUCUCUCCAAGGGUGGAGGAGGGGGAGGAGGAGGAGAGAAUUUUCUCUCACGGGCCGGGGUAAGGGACAUCGGAGCAAGGAGGGAAGGACUCCCACUGCAGAAGUGGCUGCCUCCGUGGCGUCUUUCGUAGAUGGAUUACAUAUCCCCUGAGAGAAGUCUGGAUGGGACUUGUGGAGACCCUGGUCCUUUAUUUGGAGAUCAAGAUGGUUGCUUGUUGGAGCACAUGGAUUAUCAUGAUUCUGUACCCUAUAUGAAUGAUCAGAUCAUGUGCAAUACAAUGAAAUCUGCUUCGACUAGUCCAGCAUCUCCCCUGAAGCAAGACGAGGAACAUCAUGUGCAUAUAGAAUCUGAUAUGCAAAACGAUGCAGCUGAACGGAAAGUUCACCAUAAUGAUGACUGUGAAGUACGUACCACUUCUCCGGGUUAUGAUGUGCAUCAGAAUACAGAAGUGGUUGAAGCUGAUAAUAGCAGUAGGGAUUAUCAAUUUAGCAAUAGCGGUGAUGAUGAUGAUGAAAUUCCAAACUCUUCUGCGCCUCAGAUGGGAAAUAAGGACAACAGAAAGUUACAUGAGACUUUUCACAAUGAAGUGAAUGGGGCAGAUGAUGAUCAAAUGAAUGGUGGGAAUUCUAAUCCUCAUGAUGAACAUGACAAUGAGAACUUCAACUCUGCAACUGCACCUUCCUAUUUGGAUGGGAUGGAGCAGGAAGAUCCUGGUACCGAGAAUGGCAUUUCCACGCCUGGCAAUCAGUGGGAUUCUCCACCUGAAAGGUCUGCAGGACUAGAGAAGGGCACACCAUCACCAGCCAGGAGGGUCUCACUUUCAGUAGAAAGGUCACCUCAUGCUCAUUCAUCUGAGAAACUGGACUCACCACAUCAUGCAAAAGAGGGUGAUAAUUUGGCUGACUCUCGAAGCCCACCAGCAAGACAUCGGUCCCGAUCUCCUGGAUCUCCUGAAAACCAUGACACCAACCGUAGAAGAGCUCCCUCACAUGAGUUGUCUCCACAUGCACGGGAUAACUCUCCAGAAAGAAAAGCACAAUCUUGGCGUGGAGAUGGGUCACCGCGCCGAAGAUCUACAUCCCCUGGAAGAAGAGAUGGGUCACCACAGCGAAGAUCAGCUUCCCCUAAAAGAAGAGAUGGGUCACCGCGACGAAGAUCAGCUUCCCCUAGAAGAAGACAUGGUUCACCACGCCGAAGAUCUGCAUCCCCUAAAAGAAGAGAUGGGUCACCUCGCAGAAGAUCUCCAUCCCCCAAAAGAAGACACGGGUCACCACGACGAAGAUCUCCAUCCCCUAAAAGGAGGAAUGGGUCACCACGGCGAAGAUCUCCAUCCCCUAAAAGGAGGCAUGGGUCACCACGGCGAAGAUCUCCAUCUCCUAAAAGAAGAGCCUCACCCAAGAGGAGGGGUUCACCAAGGAGGAGGGAUUCCCCAACAAGGAGGGAUUCCUCUCCAAGAAGGAGAGACUCACCAAGAAAGAGAGAUUCCUCAGCAAGGAGGAGGGAUUCCCCAACAAGGAGGGAUUCCUCUCCAAGAAGGAGAGACUCACCAAGAAAGAGAGAUUCCUCUCCAAGGAGGAGGGAAUCCCCAACAAGAAAGAGGGACUCCCCAACAAGGAAGAGAGAUAGAUCAAAAUCAAGGUCACCAUCAAGGAAAACUGAUUCCUCUAGACAUAAAAGGGAGCAUGGUAGAUCUCGAUCAGGGUCUCCACACUCUAGGAAUCACCAUAGAAGAUCUCCAAGAAGAAGGCAUUCACCAAGGCACAGAUCACCUCCAGCAAGGCAUCAUUCUCCUAAAAGAUGUUGGUCACCACCUGCCAACAGGAAGACUGGAUUGAGUAAGCCUGGGCGGAAUCUGUUUGUUGCAGGUUUUAGCUAUGCCACCACAGAGCGAGAGUUGGAGAAGAAAUUUGCAAAGUUUGGACGUGUAACAAGGGUGCGGGUUGUCCGAGAUAAACGAACUGGAGAUUCUCGAGGCUUUGGAUUUUUAUCCCUGGAGAAGGAUGAGGACGCUGAUGCAGCAAUCCGAGCUUGCGACGAGACUGAGUGGAAUGGUAGGAUCAUUCUUGUGGAGAAGUCCAAGGCACCUGCAUGGUGAAUCUUACACCCUAGAGCUCUGCAAACAAUGCUCUGGGUGGGCGGGACCAGUUUGCACAGCUUUUAUCGUACCAACAGUAUAACAUAAACUAUUAAUUUAUCAUUACAUGUGGCAAAGUUUACUUGAACCAGCUCUCUAUGCUGUACUAGGAGACCCUGCUGCUGAUAAAGAGGGAGUUAGCGGUACACAUUGUAAUAUCUGCAACCUCUACUACACAUUCAUGACAUUCAUCAUCCUCUUCUUCCUCUGCAUGGUGAUCGAGUGUUUGGCUGGCAGUUCAGUUCAUGGUGAUGCAUGGGCGAAAUUCAGACUUGCGACGCUGUGUUGGUCAUUUUUAAGUUAGGACAAUAAUUUUAUACGUUUGUAUGUGCUCUGUGUUUUAGGUCGUGGAUACUACUAUAUGUUGGAUAUGUCCCGAUAACUUUUCUGCUGUCUUUUCUUUCUGCCUCUACUCAUGAAUCAGAAAUAUUUUAUGCAAAAAAGAACGACAUUCUGAUCC
This 2635-nucleotide ribosomal RNA is filed under the name Triticum aestivum (bread wheat). RNAcentral describes it as "partial small subunit ribosomal RNA". Lineage: Eukaryota; Viridiplantae; Streptophyta; Magnoliopsida; Poales; Poaceae. The record is from RNAcentral.